AGUUGACGCUCUGGGCCGCCACCUCCGCGGACCCUGAGCGCAAGAGCCAAGCCGCCACCGCCGCGAUGUGGGCCACGCUGCCGCUGCUCUGCGCCGGGGCCUGGCUCCUGGGAGUCCCCGUCUGCGGUGCCGCCGAACUGUCCGUGAACUCCUUAGAGAAGUUUCACUUCAAGUCAUGGAUGUCUAAGCACCGUAAGACCUACAGCACGGAGGAGUACCACCACAGGCUGCAGACGUUUGCCAGCAACUGGAGGAAGAUAAACGCCCACAACAAUGGGAACCACACAUUUAAAAUGGCACUGAACCAAUUUUCAGACAUGAGCUUUGCUGAAAUAAAACACAAGUAUCUCUGGUCAGAGCCUCAGAAUUGCUCAGCCACCAAAAGUAACUACCUUCGAGGUACUGGUCCCUACCCACCUUCCGUGGACUGGCGGAAAAAAGGAAAUUUUGUCUCACCUGUGAAAAAUCAGGGUGCCUGCGGCAGUUGCUGGACUUUCUCCACCACCGGGGCCCUGGAGUCUGCGAUCGCCAUCGCAACCGGGAAGAUGCUGUCCUUGCAGCCUCAGUUGUCUUCAUGAGGGAAGAGCCGGGAC
This 593-nucleotide small RNA is filed under the name Pan troglodytes (chimpanzee). RNAcentral describes it as "processed transcript". The record is from RNAcentral. Lineage: Eukaryota; Metazoa; Chordata; Mammalia; Primates; Hominidae.